RNAcentral lists this ribosomal RNA (482 nucleotides) under uncultured bacterium. Its description in RNAcentral is "partial 16S ribosomal RNA". It matches the Rfam family "Bacterial small subunit ribosomal RNA", at positions 30 to 507 of the family's 1533-position model. The record is from RNAcentral.
AUUGAACGCUGGCGGCAUGCCUUACACAUGCAAGUCGAACGGUAACGGGCCUUCGGUUUCCGACGAGUGGCGAACGGGUGCGUAAUACAUCGGAAUGUGCCCGCUCGUGGGGGAUAACGAGGCGAAAGCUUUGCUAAUACCUCAUACGAUCUACGGAUGAAAGCCGGGGACCGCAAGGCCUUGCGCUGACGUUGCGGCCGAUGGCAGAUUAGGUAGUUGGUGGGAUAAAAGCUUACCAAGCCGACGAUCUGUAGCUGGUCUGAGAGGAUGAUCAGCCACACUGGGACUGAGACACGGCCCAGACUCCUACGGGAGGCAGCAGUGGGGAAUUUUGGACAAUGGGCGCAAGCCUGAUCCAGCCAUGCCGCGUGCAGGAUGAAGGCCUUCGGGUUGUAAACUGCUUUUGUACGGAACGAAAAGCCUUCUUUUAAUACAGGAGGGUCAUGACGGUACCGUAAGAAUAAGCACCGGCUAACUACGUG